RNAcentral lists this ribosomal RNA (253 nucleotides) under uncultured bacterium. Its description in RNAcentral is "partial 16S ribosomal RNA". It matches the Rfam family "Bacterial small subunit ribosomal RNA", at positions 524 to 776 of the family's 1533-position model. The record is from RNAcentral.
GACGAACUGUCCUAACGUUGUUCGGAAUCACUGGGCUUAAAGGGCGCGUAGGCGGUCGACCAAGUCAGGGGUGAAAUCCUGCAGCUUAACUGUAGAAGUGCCUUUGAUACUGGUCGUCUGGAGGGAGGUAGGGGUGUGCGGAACUUCCAGUGGAGCGGUGAAAUGCGUUGAUAUUGGAAGGAACGCCGGAGGCGAAAGCGGCGCACUGGACCUCUUCUGACGCUGAGGCGCGAAAGCUAGGGGAGCAAACGGG